AUUGAACGCUGGCGGCAGGCCUAACACAUGCAAGUCGAACGGUAACAGAAAGCAGCUUGCUGCUUUGCUGACGAGUGGCGGACGGGUGAGUAAUGUCUGGGAAACUGCCUGAUGGAGGGGGAUAACUACUGGAAACGGUAGCUAAUACCGCAUAACGUCGCAAGACCAAAGAGGGGGACCUUCGGGCCUCUUGCCAUCGGAUGUGCCCAGAUGGGAUUAGCUAGUAGGUGGGGUAACGGCUCACCUAGGCGACGAUCCCUAGCUGGUCUGAGAGGAUGACCAGCCACACUGGAACUGAGACACGGUCCAGACUCCUACGGGAGGCAGCAGUGGGGAAUAUUGCACAAUGGGCGCAAGCCUGAUGCAGCCAUGCCGCGUGUAUGAAGAAGGCCUUCGGGUUGUAAAGUACUUUCAGCGGGGAGGAAGGGAGUAAAGUUAAUACCUUUGCUCAUUGACGUUACCCGCAGAAGAAGCACCGGCUAACUACGUG
This 490-nucleotide ribosomal RNA is filed under the name uncultured bacterium. RNAcentral's name for it is "partial 16S ribosomal RNA". It matches the Rfam family "Bacterial small subunit ribosomal RNA", at positions 30 to 507 of the family's 1533-position model. The record is from RNAcentral.